This 251-nucleotide ribosomal RNA is filed under the name uncultured prokaryote. RNAcentral's name for it is "partial 16S rRNA". It matches the Rfam family "Bacterial small subunit ribosomal RNA", at positions 525 to 775 of the family's 1533-position model. The record is from RNAcentral.
ACGAAGGGUGCGAGCGUUGUUCGGAAUUACUGGGCGUAAAGGGCGCGUAGGCGGUUAUGUAAGAUAGAGGUGAAAUUCCAAGGCUUAACCUUGGGACUGCCUUUAUAACUAUAUAGCUAGAGUAUGGUAGAGGUAAGCGGAAUACCCAGUGUAGAGGUGAAAUUCGUAGAUAUUGGGUAGAACACCGGAUGCGAAGGCGGCUUACUGGGCCAUUACUGACGCUGAGGCGCGAAAGCGUGGGUAGCAAACAG